This 59-nucleotide small RNA is filed under the name Caenorhabditis elegans. Its description in RNAcentral is "Unclassified non-coding RNA F08B6.6". The record is from RNAcentral. Lineage: Eukaryota; Metazoa; Nematoda; Chromadorea; Rhabditida; Rhabditidae.
CUCGCGUAAAUGUAUGCGCCAGAGCGAGAGUGUGUGUGCCAAUCGAAACAGCAGCAGCA